Molecule: ribosomal RNA, 253 nt
Filed under: uncultured bacterium
Lineage: Bacteria
Description: partial 16S ribosomal RNA
Rfam family: Bacterial small subunit ribosomal RNA
Source: RNAcentral
UACGAACUGUGCAAACGUUAUUCGGAAUCACUGGGCUUAAAGGGUGCGUAGGCGGCUUAUCAAGUAGGGUGUGAAAGCCCCCGGCUUAACCGGGGAAUUGCGCCCUAAACUGACGAGCUGGAGUGGGACAGAGGUGUGUGGAACUUCCGGUGGAGCGGUGAAAUGUGUUGAUAUCGGAAGGAACGCCGGUGGCGAAAGCGACACACUGGGUCUCAACUGACGCUGAGGCACGAAAGCCAGGGGAGCAAACGGG